Molecule: ribosomal RNA, 475 nt
Filed under: uncultured bacterium
Lineage: Bacteria
Description: partial 16S ribosomal RNA
Rfam family: Bacterial small subunit ribosomal RNA
Source: RNAcentral
UGAACGCUGGCGGCGUGCCUCACACAUGCAAGUCGAACGAAGCACCUUACCUGAUUCUUCGGAUGAAAGUUUGGUGACUGAGUGGCGGACGGGUGAGUAACGCGUGGGUAACCUGCCCUGUACAGGGGGAUAACAGCUGGAAACGGCUGCUAAUACCGCAUAAGCGCACGAGGAGACAUCUCCUUGUGUGAAAAACUCCGGUGGUACAGGAUGGGCCCGCGUCUGAUUAGCUGGUUGGCAGGGUAACGGCCUACCAAGGCAACGAUCAGUAGCCGGUCUGAGAGGAUGAACGGCCACAUUGGAACUGAGACACGGUCCAAACUCCUACGGGAGGCAGCAGUGGGGAAUAUUGCACAAUGGGGGAAACCCUGAUGCAGCAACGCCGCGUGAGUGAAGAAGUAUUUCGGUACGUAAAGCUCUAUCAGCAGGGAAGAUAAUGACGGUACCUGACUAAGAAGCUCCGGCUAAAUACGUG